Molecule: ribosomal RNA, 31 nt
Filed under: Sarmentypnum exannulatum
Lineage: Eukaryota; Viridiplantae; Streptophyta; Bryopsida; Hypnales; Amblystegiaceae
Description: partial 18S ribosomal RNA
Source: RNAcentral
GGCCGUAGGUGAACCUGCGGAAGGAUCAUUG